This 1335-nucleotide long non-coding RNA is filed under the name Marmota monax (woodchuck). Lineage: Eukaryota; Metazoa; Chordata; Mammalia; Rodentia; Sciuridae. The record is from RNAcentral.
CUUUCAUAUGCAGAAGCAAAAGCAAAGUAAAGGGGGAAAAGGGGGAGAGGAUUGCAUAUCAUAAAGACAGAGAGAAGAUCCGUGGAGGAGAGGAAGGAGAUUGACUGGGAGGGAGGAGGGACAGGAAAGGGAGGAAAUGCUAAAUGAAUUUGACCAAAUUCUACUAUGUGCAUGUAUAAAUAUACCACAGUGAAUUCCACCUUUAUGUACCUCUAUAAAGCACCGAUUAAAAAUAAGUAGAUAAAUAAACAGAAGGAAGACCAGUAAAGUAGAGGAAGGGGAGUGGAGGAAGGGAGGAAGAGAGGGAAAGAGGAGGCACCGGGAACUGAAAUGGAGCACAUGAAAUUCCAUACCUGUUCGGUUAUGUCAAAAUGAACCCAAUCCCUUAUCCAUAACUAGAAGGCACUAAUAAAAGCAAUUAAAUUAAGGAAAAAUAGGUGGGGAAAAUCAUGAAUGAGAUCCCUUUUUUAGGGGGGCUGGGGUUGUGGCUGGAGGCACUGGAUAAGAUUCUCAGCACCACAUAAAAAUACAAAUAAAUUAAAUAAAGAUUUUUUUUUAAAAAAAGAGAUCCCUUUUAAAAAAUGCCCACAUAAUUUGACAAUGAAUAGCCACUGAGGACAUGUGCUGUGUACCAGGUGGUGUUCUAGGCAUUGGGAGCAGAACAGGUGACCUGCCAUCGUGCCGUUCUGGUGGGCAGACAGGAAAUGAGCAGGUUCAGGCAAGGCUGUCUUCUGAAGGAAGUAAAUGAGGGGGUGGGUGAGCAGUGUGAGCAGUUGGGUGUUGGGGAAUGGUCUUCAAAUAGGCAGGAAGAUGUCACUAAUCCCAUUCCUUCAGAUGAGGAAACUGAGGGGAGUUAUUGGUUGCCAACAGAAAUUAAAAAACAAAAACAAAAUAUGAAAAAAAAAUGCUGAAAAGGCAGAGUUUCAGGAAAGAUAUGAAAGAUCAGAUCACCAAGCCCCUGGGUACCUGCUUAAUAUUUACCCUGGUGAGGUUAAUGGCUUGUGAGAAAACAGGCCAAUAAUCGAGGUGGCUAGAAGUCCACCCUCUCCCCUCCCACAAUUCAAACAUUUGCCAAAAAAAGAAACAAAACAUUUCCCAAGGUUGGGAUUCAAAACAAGUGGGUGAGUUCCUGGCCCUACCACUGAAUAGCUGUAUGGCUUUGAUCAAAUCCAUGCUUUACUUUCUUUGUCUUAAAAAAGGCAAUUUUAAGGGCUGUGGGUUAGGAUUCCUUGAGCCUCCACCACGUGCCAGGCUUUCUACUGGCUGCUAAGAAUAACACAUAAGAAGUAUCGUGUCUGUCCCAAACGAGCCAUUGCAUGUCCAAUUAGUAUUCCC